This 71-nucleotide transfer RNA is filed under the name Marmota monax (woodchuck). RNAcentral's name for it is "tRNA.Ala". It matches the Rfam family "tRNA". Rfam says of the family: Transfer RNA (tRNA) molecules are approximately 80 nucleotides in length. Their secondary structure includes four short double-helical elements and three loops (D, anti-codon, and T loops). Lineage: Eukaryota; Metazoa; Chordata; Mammalia; Rodentia; Sciuridae. The record is from RNAcentral.
GGGGCUAUAGCUCAGUGGCAGAGCACUUGCCUAGCAUGCAUGAGGCACUGAGUUUGAUCCUCAGCACCACA